This is a long non-coding RNA of Oryza sativa Japonica Group (Japanese rice), 1498 nucleotides long. RefSeq lists it as uncharacterized. Lineage: Eukaryota; Viridiplantae; Streptophyta; Magnoliopsida; Poales; Poaceae. The record is from RefSeq and is a predicted model, not a curated record.
UCCUCUCUCUCUCUCAAUCUUGUCUCUGCAGGCCGCCGGCGGGUGGGGAGGAGGCCGGCGGGGAGCUCCUCCUGCGUGAUCGCGAGCUCCGCGGUCGGACACGUCGCCGAGGUCGCCGCGUACCGCCUCAUCUUCUCAACUCGCACCACUCGUUCUACGACGGGCUCUACGUCGGCGGCGUCGCCGACGCCCGCAUCCGCCCGGCGCUCCGCACGUUGAAGCAGAACAUGUCGCUGCUCCUCUCCGUGCUCAUCGACCGCGUGCAGCCGGUGGCGGUGCAGGAGGCGAGCGAAGCAGCCAGGCGGAGUGGGGGGCGCCGUCGCCGAUCAGCAGCCGCUCGUCGCCGGAGUAGGCGACGGCAAAGGAGCAGCUCAACGGGAGCUACUGGAGCACAACGGGCUGCUGGGUGGCGAGGAGGGCGACCGGAGCGGGUCGCGGGCAGGCAACCGGUGGCCACGGCAGGAGACGCUGGCGCUGCUCAAGAUCCGGUCGGAGAUGGACGUCGCCUUUCGGGAAGCCGUCCUCAAGGGCCCCCUCUAGGAGGAAGUCUCCAGGAAGCUCGCGGAGAUGGGGGUACAAGAGGAGCACCAAGGACGGCCGCGCCGGCCACGGCGACGGCAAGACCUAGCGCUUCUUCACCGAGCUCGAGGCCCUCCACGGCGCCGCCGCCUCCGCGCGCCCCCCGCCGCCGGUGUCCCUCGCGCCGGCGCCUGUGGCCAUGGCGCCCGUUGGCCACCCCUGCGGGUCUCUCGGCGUUGCGCAUCCGCCACUCCGCCUCGCCGUCGCCGGUCGCCCCACUCCGCCCAUCGCCGCCCCGCUCCAUCCCGCCGGCUUCGUGACGCGGAUAAUACAGAGAAGAGAGGGGGUGAGAGAGGAGGGGAAAGAGGAAGAAAGGUGGAUAGGAGAGGAGAAGAAGAGGCUGACGUGUGGGUCCCACGCUGAGUUAGCUGUCAUGUCGGAGAAAACCGGGUCGGAGAAAACCAGAGUCAAAACCGCUAGGGGACCUAGUGUGACAUCCCGGCCCAGGGCUUAAUAGUAUUAAUAAAAUACUCAUGUCAACAAGUUGCAACUUCUUUUCUGGAAGCCGAUUUCAAAAGAACUCUAGGGUUAAGCGUGCUUGGCCUGGAGCAAUUUGGGAUGAGUGACCGACCGAGGAAUUCUUUCCGGGUGUACACGAGUGAGGACAAAGUGUGCAGAAAAGGCAUGUGUUGGCCUGUGAGGGCAGUCUAUUACCUAUAAAAGCUACCAGAUGUAAGCGGGCCUGACUUGGGAGAGGCAAGACGUUACAUAGCGCAUGGCUGGUGUGGACCGGGAGUGGUGCACUGGACACGUUGCAACUUCUUUUCCGGAAGCCGAUUUUCAAAGAACUCCAGGGUUAAGCGUGCUUGGCCUGGAGCAAUAUAAGCGGGCCCUGCCUCAAUGUGCACUGGUUUUGUAAGUUGGGGGAUGCGUUGUAUCUGGUUUUGUGGUUGAAGGAUGAUUUGUAACCCGAUGACAA